AUUGAACGCUGGCGGCAGGCCUAACACAUGCAAGUCGAGCGGAUGAAGGGAGCUUGCUCCUGGAUUCAGCGGCGGACGGGUGAGUAAUGCCUAGGAAUCUGCCUGGUAGUGGGGGAUAACGUCCGGAAACGGGCGCUAAUACCGCAUACGUCCUGAGGGAGAAAGUGGGGGAUCUUCGGACCUCACGCUAUCAGAUGAGCCUAGGUCGGAUUAGCUAGUUGGUGGGGUAAAGGCCUACCAAGGCGACGAUCCGUAACUGGUCUGAGAGGAUGAUCAGUCACACCUGAAACUGGACAAGGUGCCGAGCCCCUCGGGGGGGGAGGAGGGGGAAAUUUUGGCAAAAGGGGAAAACCCUAGCCCAACAAGGCCGGGGGGGUAAAAAAGGUUUUCGGUUUUUAAACCUCUUUAAUUGGGGAGGAAGGGAGGAAAGUUAAAUCCUGCCUUUUUGAAGGUAACCAACAAAAAAAACCCGGGCUAACUGGUG
RNAcentral lists this ribosomal RNA (484 nucleotides) under uncultured bacterium. RNAcentral describes it as "partial 16S ribosomal RNA". It matches the Rfam family "Bacterial small subunit ribosomal RNA", at positions 30 to 507 of the family's 1533-position model. The record is from RNAcentral.